Molecule: ribosomal RNA, 392 nt
Filed under: uncultured bacterium
Lineage: Bacteria
Description: partial 16S ribosomal RNA
Rfam family: Bacterial small subunit ribosomal RNA
Source: RNAcentral
AUACGGAGGAUCCGAGCGUUAUCCGGAUUUAUUGGGUUUAAAGGGUGCGCAGGCGGCCAUUUAAGUCAGCGGUUAAAUCGUGGGGCUCAACCCCAUUCUGCCGUUGAUACUGGGUGGCUUGAUUGCGGUCGAGGUUGGCGGAAUUCGUUGUGUAGCGGUGAAAUGCAUAGAUAUGACGAAGAACACCGAUUGCGUAGGCAGCUGACCAGACCGCAAAUGACGCUCAUGCACGAAAGUGCGGGGAUCGAACAGGAUUAGAUACCCUGGUAGUCCGCACAGUAAACGAUGAAUACUUGUUUUCGGCGAUAUAAUGUCGGAGGCAAAGCGAAAGCGAUAAGUAUUCCACCUGGGGAGUACGCCGGCAACGGUGAAACUCUAAGGAAUUGACGGGG